UAGGGAAUCUUCCACAAUGGACGCAAGUCUGAUGGAGCAACGCCGCGUGAGUGAAGAAGGUUUUCGGAUCGUAAAGCCCUGUUGUUGGUGAAGACGGAUAGAGGCAGUAACUGGUCUUUAUUUGACGGUAAUCAACCAGAAAGUCCCGGCUAACUACGUGCCAGCAGCCGCGGUAAUACGUAGUUGGCAAGCGUUGUCCGGAUUUAUUGGGCGUAAAGCGACCGCAGGCGGAAUGAUAAGUCUGAUGUGAAAGCCCACGGCUCAACCGUGGAACUGCAUCGGAAACUGUCAUUCUUGAGUGCAGAAGAGGGGAGUGGAAUUCCAUGUGUAGCGGUGGAAUGCGUAGAUAUAUGGAAGAACACCAGUGGCGAAGGCGGCUCUCUGGUCUGCAACUGACGCUGAGGCUCGAAAGCAUGGGUAGCGAACAGG
RNAcentral lists this ribosomal RNA (429 nucleotides) under bacterium. Its description in RNAcentral is "partial 16S ribosomal RNA". It matches the Rfam family "Bacterial small subunit ribosomal RNA", at positions 355 to 776 of the family's 1533-position model. The record is from RNAcentral.